This 253-nucleotide ribosomal RNA is filed under the name uncultured bacterium. Its description in RNAcentral is "partial 16S ribosomal RNA". It matches the Rfam family "Bacterial small subunit ribosomal RNA", at positions 524 to 776 of the family's 1533-position model. The record is from RNAcentral.
UACGGAGGGUGCAAGCGUUAUUCGGAUUUACUGGGCGUAAAGCGCGCGUAGGCGGUUUAGCAAGUCUGGUGUGAAAGCCCUGGACUCAAUCCAGGAAGUGCAUUGGAUACUGCUAGACUAGAGUGCAGGAGGGGUGAGCGGAAUUCCAGGUGUAGAGGUGAAAUUCGUAGAUAUCUGGAGGAACAACGGCGGCGAAGGCGGCUCACUGGACUGUUACUGACGCUCAGGCGCGAAAGCGUGGGGAGCAAACAGG